CAGUAUCAGAUGCAUCAGCUGCUCCACUGCAGAGGACUGAUGCGGCCUAGUGGUUUUUAAUGACAAACAAUAUUCCCAGAGAGUUUUGAUUAGGUUUGGAUUAUGUCUCAGGCACACAUGUGAGGAAGUUGUUUGUUAUCCUUCUCUUCUGAAGAUAUAAAUAAUGGUGGAGCUCAGUUUACAGCUUUAUGGCUGUAAACUGGUUGUCACACCCUAUCUGAUUAUAUGCAUCUAUGUAUAAAUAUUAGCAUAAGGGUUUUUUCUCAGCAUUUGACAUUGAUUCCUGAUUCUGCAAAUACUGAUGUGCAUACAAAGGUCCUAAUGAAGUCCGAUUUCUCACAUGAAUAAUUUGUGUAGGUGUGGUAAGGCUGAUCAAUAUUGUCGUGUUUCAGAUCUACAUCACCAACUGUACGGUCAUUUUGGCAACUGUCUCAAUUGAACUCUCUAGCGUCUUUACCUGUGAACACACAGUCCCACUGGAAAUAGGUUUCAUGACCUGGUGUUAAAUGAUCCAGAGCUGAGAUGGACCCACAAGAGUGGAGAGAGUGGAAAUGGAAAGGAAUGCUGACCAGAGCAUCCUCAUUUGACCUCACCAGAUGGUCACUUCCUCAGGAACACCCCGAGCUCAGUGGUGGCAGCAGCCAUGCUCGCAUCUCCCUGCAGACUGUUCACAGACAAGAAUGGUCCGGUCUGGACUUUGCAGUAAUCUCUGAUGUACAAACAAUCUAUCUCCAGCGAUGCAGGAAAGGAGCCUCAGCCCAUCAGUGAUGUGUGUUCUUUUGGCAGCAGGGAGAGCAAAGCUUUACGUGGACAGUGGGAGCUCAGGUUCCUGGCUGCUAGAUGUGGAUUUGCCCAGUUUGGUGCAAGGGAAGACCCAGUUCUGCCAUCAGCCCUGUGCAGAAGCAAAGAGCAGACUGGUGCCGGGCCCUUUGCGUGCUAGCACUUUGCUGAGCCAUCAGAGAGGUCAUCCACAUUGAGGAGAGCUGCUGUGGGACAAAGAGAGAUGUAAACCCAAACUACCUCUGUGUCUGUGUGCUCAGAUCCUACAGCUAUGUGAGUGCAGGUGUGAGGUCUGGCCAGAGCAUUUCAGAUAAAACUGCCUUUCCAUUGGGUUCACUGUCUAUUGGGAUCAUCUUUUUCCUUGGGGAUUAGCUCAGUGUCAGCAAGUAGUCGCUGCCUGACUUCACGUGGUGUGCCAGGAAGACAAUACUAGUCAUAAGAUAAUGUGUUCCUGAAUGGGAUUGAAACUAUGAGCAUCCGACUCACAAGAAUGGAAGGGGGAAAAUAAAACAAAAACUGCACACAAAAAACCAACCCACCCUGAAAGUUUUCAGGCCCCUCCAUGCCACAUUUCAAAUUAUAAAAAAAAAAAAAAAAAAAAGCAGCCUUUAUUCCUUUAUUCAUGAGACAAUAACUACGAUGAAUUAAGCACAAGCUGUUUUGUCAAAAAGCAAGAGCCUCCCAUGCCCAAGGAAGGACAGAAGCGCAGGGUUGCGACACUGCGCUGAAUUCAACAGCCUGUUCAGUUUCUGCACUAGUUGUGAAAUCACCUCUUUGUGUUCAGUGAGGCACUUUCUGGUGGCCGUUGCAGCACAGCUGUGCGACCUGAUGGGGAGUGAUGGCCAUGGGGUCCUGGGCACAGCCCUUACCCAGGCAGCAGCAAGGAGCAGAGCUGUGUUCCCUUGCUGUGUUUGCACACCAGUUGAUGUGUAUCCAAGGACGUGGAGCCUGUUUCUGGAUUUACACGCAGUCCCGUGCUCGUGCAUCAUCUCAGCCUGCCUGCAGGUUUUCCAUGAUGCAUUGUUAUUUUGGCAGUUUUGUUUGAUCCCUCAUCUGGAGCACUAGAUUUACAGAAAUGAAGGGGAAGCGGCCCCUAUCUGCGGUGCUGUGUCCAUUAGAGGUAUUUACAUUUAUAAACUGAGAAAACCAUUGCUAUUUUAAGCAGCAGCUGCUGGAAGUCUG
This is a long non-coding RNA of Centrocercus urophasianus (Greater sage-grouse), 1962 nucleotides long. RefSeq lists it as uncharacterized. Lineage: Eukaryota; Metazoa; Chordata; Aves; Galliformes; Phasianidae. The transcript is spliced from 6 exons. The record is from RefSeq and is a predicted model, not a curated record.